CCCUUAGACGUUCUGGGCCGCACGCGCGCUACACUGACCAGUGCAACAAGCAUCCGUCCUUGGCCGACAGGCUCGGGCAAUCUUUGAACGCUGGUCGUGAUGGGGAUAGACUUUUGCAAUUUUUGGUCUUCAACGAGGAAUUCCUAGUAAACGCAAGUCAUCAACUUGCAUUGAUUACGUCCCUGCCCUUUGUACACACCGCCCGUCGCUGCCCGGAACUGAGCCAUUUCGAGAAAAAUGGGGACAGACUGCUUGUGGGUGCGCAAGCACUUCUUGCAGAUUGAAACCAUCUUGAUCGGUAUGGCUUGAACCGGGCAAAAGUCGUAACA
This 329-nucleotide ribosomal RNA is filed under the name uncultured eukaryote. Its description in RNAcentral is "partial 18S ribosomal RNA". It matches the Rfam family "Eukaryotic small subunit ribosomal RNA", at positions 1470 to 1796 of the family's 1831-position model. The record is from RNAcentral.